UAUGAAGAACGUAGCGAAAUGCGAUACUUGGUGUGAAUUGCAGAAUCCCGUGAACCAUCGAGUCUUUGAACGCAAGUUGCGCCCGAAGCCAUUAGGCCGAGGGCACGCCUGCCUGGGCGUCACACGUCGUUGCCCCCCCAUCUACUCCUUCGGGAUUGCGGGGGGCGGAUGAUGGCCUCCCGUGCGCCUCGUCGCGCGGUUGGCAUAAAUGCCAAGUCCUCGGCGACGCACGCCACGACAAUCGGUGGUUGCGAAACCUCGGUUGCCCGUCGUGUGCGGUCGUCGCGCAUCGAGGGCUCGAAAAAAUUGCCGGGCUCCGGCUCGGCUUUCAACGCGACCCCAGGUCAGGCGGGGUUACCCGCUGAAUUUAAGCAUAUCAAUAAGCGGAGGA
Molecule: unclassified non-coding RNA, 391 nt
Filed under: soil metagenome
Description: partial contains 5.8S ribosomal RNA, internal transcribed spacer 2, and large subunit ribosomal RNA
Rfam family: 5.8S ribosomal RNA (bases 2-122)
Source: RNAcentral